AGGGAAAUAGCUCAGUUGGUUAGAGUGCUGGUCUGUCACGCCAGAAGUCGCGGGUUCGAACCCCGUUUUCCCCG
This 74-nucleotide transfer RNA is filed under the name Brasenia schreberi. Its description in RNAcentral is "tRNA-Asp". It matches the Rfam family "tRNA". Rfam says of the family: Transfer RNA (tRNA) molecules are approximately 80 nucleotides in length. Lineage: Eukaryota; Viridiplantae; Streptophyta; Magnoliopsida; Nymphaeales; Cabombaceae. The record is from RNAcentral.